GUGCUCACUUCGACAGCACAUAUACUAAAAUUGGAACAAUAGAGAUUAGCAUGGCCCCUGUGCAAGGAUAACACACAAAUUCCAUUAAGCAUUUCAUAUGUUU
This is a small nuclear RNA of Cynocephalus volans (Philippine flying lemur), 103 nucleotides long. The record is from RefSeq and is a predicted model, not a curated record. Lineage: Eukaryota; Metazoa; Chordata; Mammalia; Dermoptera; Cynocephalidae.